GACGAACCGUGCAACCGUUGUUCGGAAUCACUGGGCUUAAAGGGCGCGUAGGCGGGUUUUCAAGUCUGUGGUGAAAGCCUCCAGCUUAACUGGAGAAGUGCCGUGGAUACUGAAGACCUCGAGGAGGGUAGGGGCAUCUGGAACGGUCGGUGGAGCGGUGAAAUGCGUUGAUAUCGACCGGAACUCCGGUGGCGAAGGCGAGGUGCUGGACCCUUUCUGACGCUGAGGCGCGAAAGCCAGGGGAGCAAACGGG
Molecule: ribosomal RNA, 253 nt
Filed under: uncultured bacterium
Lineage: Bacteria
Description: partial 16S ribosomal RNA
Rfam family: Bacterial small subunit ribosomal RNA
Source: RNAcentral